GGGAAUAUUGCGCAAUGGAGGAAACUCUGACGCAGUGACGCCGCGUAUAGGAAGAAGGUUUUCGGAUUGUAAACUAUUGUCGAUAGGGAAGAAAAAAGACUGUACCUAUCAAGAAAGCUCCGGCUAACUACGCGCCAGCAGCCGCGGUAAUACGUAGGGAGCAAGCGUUAUCCGGAAUUAUUGGGUGUAAAGGGUGCGUAGACGGGAUGUCAAGUUAGUUGUGAAAUACCUCGGCUCAACUGAGGAACUGCAACUAAAACUAACAUUCUUGAGUGCAGGAGAGGAAAGUGGAAUUCCUAGUGUAGCGGUGAAAUGCGUAGAUAUUAGGAAGAACAUCGGUGGCGAAGGCGACUUUCUGGACUGUAACUGACGUUGAGGCACGAAAGUGUGGGGAGCAAAC
RNAcentral lists this ribosomal RNA (400 nucleotides) under uncultured bacterium. Its description in RNAcentral is "bacterial SSU rRNA". It matches the Rfam family "Bacterial small subunit ribosomal RNA", at positions 357 to 773 of the family's 1533-position model. The record is from RNAcentral.